Non-coding RNA from Dipodomys ordii (Ord's kangaroo rat), 65 nucleotides. The record is from Rfam. NCBI's taxonomy places the organism in Eukaryota, Metazoa, Chordata, Mammalia, Rodentia, Heteromyidae.
GGUGGCUCAGUGGUAAAGCACUUGCCUUGCAUGCAUGAGGCCCUGGGUUCGAUUCCUCAGCACCA